AAUACGUAGGUGACAAGCGUUAGUCCGGAUUUAUUGGGCGUAAAGCGAGCGCAGGCGGGUCCGGUAAGUCUGAUGUGAAAGCCCACGGCUCAACCGUGGAACGGCAUUGGAAACUGGCGGACUUGAAUGUAGCAGAGGAAAGUGGAAUUCCAUGUGUAGCGGUGGAAUGCGUAGAUAUAUGGARGAACACCAGUGGCGAAAGCGACUUUCUGGGCUAUGAUUGACGCUGAGGCUCGAAAGCGUGGGGAGCGAACAGGAUUAGAUACCCUGGUAGUCCACGCCGUAAACGAUGAGUGCUAAGUGUUGGAGGGUUUCCGCCCUUCAGUGCUGGAGUUAACGCAUUAAGCACUCCGCCUGGGGAUUACGACCGCAAGGUUGAAACUCAAAAGAAUUGACGGGGACCCGCACAAGCGGUGGAGCAUGUGGUUUAAUUCGAAGCAACGCGAAGAACCUUACCAGCUCUUGACAUCUUCUGCCACCUUCAGAGAUGAAGGGUUCCCUUCGGGGACAGAAUGACAGGUGGUGCAUGGUUGUCGUCAGCUCGUGUCGUGAGAUGUUGGGUUAAGUCCCGUAACGAGCGCAACCCUUAUUGUUAGUUGCCAGCAUUGAGUUGGGCACUCUAGCAAGACUGCCGGUGAUAAACCGGAGGAAGGCGGGGAUGACGUCAAAUCAUCAUGCCCCUUAUGAGCUGGGCUACACACGUGCUACAAUGGAUGGUACAACGAGUGGCGAGACCGCGAGGUUUAGCUAAUCUCCCAAAGCCAUUCUCAGUUCGGGUUGCAGGCUGCAACUCGCCUGCAUGAAGUCGGAAUCGCUAGUAAUCGCGGAUCUGAAUGCCGCGGUGAAUUCGUUCCCGGGU
This 859-nucleotide ribosomal RNA is filed under the name uncultured Alloiococcus sp. Its description in RNAcentral is "bacterial SSU rRNA". It matches the Rfam family "Bacterial small subunit ribosomal RNA", at positions 522 to 1379 of the family's 1533-position model. The record is from RNAcentral. Lineage: Bacteria; Bacillati; Bacillota; Bacilli; Lactobacillales; Carnobacteriaceae.